This 270-nucleotide ribosomal RNA is filed under the name uncultured bacterium. RNAcentral describes it as "partial 16S ribosomal RNA". It matches the Rfam family "Bacterial small subunit ribosomal RNA", at positions 28 to 300 of the family's 1533-position model. The record is from RNAcentral.
GACGAACGCUGGCGGCGUGCUUAACACAUGCAAGUCGAACGGAAAGGCCCUUUCGGGGGUACUCGAGUGGCGAACGGGUGAGUAACACGUGGGUGAUCUGCCCUGCACUUCGGGAUAAGCUUGGGAAACUGGGUCUAAUACCGGAUAGGACUACGGACUGCAUGGUCUGUGGUGGAAAGCUUUUGCGGUGUGGGAUGGGCCCGCGGCCUAUCAGCUUGUUGGUGGGGUGAUGGCCUACCAAGGCGACGACGGGUAGCCGGCCUGAGAGGG